This is an RNA transcript of Cryptotermes secundus, 8801 nucleotides long. It is a transcript of the gene named WD repeat-containing protein 20, with no coding region annotated. The transcript has 5 exons. NCBI's taxonomy places the organism in Eukaryota, Metazoa, Arthropoda, Insecta, Blattodea, Kalotermitidae. The record is from RefSeq and is a predicted model, not a curated record.
AUCUGUAUUUUUGGGUGUAUUUUUUAUAUUUAUCUUUAUCUUAUCUGUGAUUUGAGAGGUCGACAGACUAUAUCCUAUCAUUGGAUUGUAUAUGUCCUACCUUGUAUUGGUUCUGGUAUCCGGAAAUUGGGAUCAACGGAGUGGGCUUUUUACGUCAGGACGGAGGCAGAGUCCAAUAUCCGAAACAUUGUUUUAAAUAAAAAUCAGGACGAUGGAUGGUGUAAAAAGAGUCGAUCAUUGUGUUACUGCUUGUGUUUCGCCUUUUCAACCAAACCGAAUUGUUCCAUCUGUUUCCUGUUCUUCAGAAGUUGUGUCAGUUUUAGUUGAUUUCCUUCGGCUCUCGAGAUGAUCUCGCCGAAAGAUUUUAGGAACUGCUUAAAUAUAUUUUCUCCUCCUGUGACCCAUCUUCAUCGUUACCUUCAGUACACACGUUCGUUCCUGUUUUUCGGAUUUCUUCACACACCCUUCUUAGAAUUUUUUCUUUCUGAAUAGUCUCUAGGAUACGGAUCUCCGUACUUUAUUAAACGAGAUGCGUCCGGCGCCUAGAAUAAUUUAGAAUGGUCGUACUUUCUACUGUUCUUAGAGUUCUUGUAAUUUGUAUUUGAAGUAGUCCGCUUGAAUUUCCCACGUACCGUGCAGAUGCGACACUUCCUCGAUGCGUGCGCUAAAUUUCACUUGUUCCUCAACAGCUGUAAAAUACUUCCGAUUCCGCUUCUGCGUGCACAUGUGAAACAAGACUUGCACGGUUUGCAGCCCCCUCCCAAAUCAGUGGUAUAUGAAAAUGGCGGUGCAAGAUGGAGGGGGGAAGGAUGAGUUAAAAACACAGUUUAUUACAAGAGAAGGGACGUACAGGCUAAUGACGCUCUCAGAAUAUUCAAGGCCCAAUAGGGUCGGGUAUACCAACACUCAAGGCAGUGCCGCUGUUCGUGUGUCGUUUGUAACAUUACCAGAUCCAAGCGGCAAUGGGGAUAGAAUUUGUUUCAAUUUCGGUAGGGAGUUAUAUGUUUACGUAUACAAAGGUGUUAAAAAGGCAGCAGAUCUAACCAAACCAGUAGACAAAAAAAUGUAUAAGGGUACGAAUCCAACUUGCCAUGACUUCAAUGUUGUUACAAUGACGCCGGAUAGCGUGUCCCUAGUUGUCGGUUUUUCAACAGGACAGAUCCAGCUUAUUGAUCCUAUAAAAAAGGAGCUUAGUAAACUGUACAAUGAAGAGAGAUUAAUUGACAAGACGAAAGUAACGUGCAUCCGGUGGGUGCCUGGAUCAACAAACCUGUUUCUGGUUUCACAUAGCAGCGGCCAGCUGUACCUGUAUAAUGAAGAGUUGCCUUGUGGCACAGCUCCACCCCAUUACCAGCCUUUCAAACAAGGUGAUGGGUAUGCAAUCCAUACAUGCAAGACCAAAAGCACACGGAAUCCUCUCUACCGAUGGGUCAUUGGAUCAGAAGGCUGUUGUAUCAAUGAAUUUGCUUUCUCUCCAUGUGGUACAUGUCUUGCUGUGGUUUCUCAGGACGGUUUCUUGCGGGUGUUCCAUUAUGAUACCAUGGAACUGUUAGGAUCAGCGAGGAGCUAUUUUGGAGGAUUUCUGUGUGUCUGCUGGUCACCUGAUGGACGUUAUGUUGUUGUGGGGGGUGAGGAUGAUCUUGUUACUGUGUGGAGUUUCCAUGAAAGGAGGGUUGUUGCAAGAGGACAAGGUCAUCGUAGCUGGGUUAGUGUGGUUGCGUUUGAUCCCUACACCACAUCUUACAGUGAACAAGAUGGCACAGUGGACUUCAGUGGGGGAUCAGAUGAUGAAACAACCCAACAGAAUCAUACGCCAAAUUGUACGUUGUCCAGUGGGAGUAGUGAACGAAGUUCAGUGACUAGGAAUUCGGGGAAUCAGGCUUCAAACAGGAACUCUUCUGGCUCAGACUUUAAUCGUAUGAAUGCGGCAACGUGCUACCGUCUAGGUUCUGUAGGUCAAGACACACAACUUUGUCUGUGGGACAUUACAGAAGAUGUCUUACGUCAGCCAAUGUGCAGUAAAUUGAGGACUAGUGGUGUUGGUGGGUCUGGAACGUUUGGUGUAAAUGGAUUAGCAGCAGGUGGUGCAUACCACUUAAACUCUAUGGGGGGCUGUGUGCCCAGAUGCAACAAUGUGUCCACAACACUACAGACCAAUGCUGUGGCAAGUAAGGACAAGGAAUGUCUUGCAGAUGGAAAUGCAACUCAUUUCCAUGGCAUGAACAUGCACAAUAAUUCAUCAGCCCCAUCCCUUACACAGAGACUUGCUGGACUUGGUUUUGGUGAUAGAAAAGAUGGAAGUGGUACUCACAAGCGGAAUUUUAGCCUUGCAUCGCGAGGCGGAAGCACUGGAGGUGAUAAAAAUAAUUCAUCAUAUCGAGGGAGUGGAACUUCAAAUCGUACCUCAGCAGAUGACCCCAUGAGACUCAUUGGAACCGGUGCCUGUCCGAGGUUUGAUGAGUGUCCCGUCCUUGAGCCUCUGAUCUGUAAGAAGAUUGCUCACGAACGGCUCACAGCUCUCAUUUUUCGAGAAGAUUGCUUUGUCACAGCGUGUCAGGAUGGUUAUGUCUACACGUGGGCAAGGCCAGGAAAAAUGGGUCUUGCUUCUCACAUCCCAUCAAGCCCAACUACAGUAACUGCAGCAGCAGUUGGGGGCGGCAUCGGUCCCAGCGGCACGGUGGUAUAGCCACCCUCUCCCAGCCCUCGUUGUGCUGGGCUCUUUUUUAACGUCUCCCUCCUUUUCUCAGUGAAAAGGUGGGGGACACCUAUCAGGGAGAUCCUUCAGAAGGACCUGCACUCAAUCACUGUACAUCUCACUGGUCCAGUGACAGAUUGGUUCUUUCUAAUGGACCGAGUUGAUUACAUGCCUCCCCAUAUACUGGAUGCUGUUAUACUAAACAUGACCUAUCUGGACUCUGUUCAGAAAAUGAGCAGAUAUGAAUAUGGUUACAGUCCUGUGGUAUAAGUGAAAUGGUAAGUGUACAUUCACAACAAUCACCUUUCUUUCAGUUAGCUGCAAACUGCCCAGCAUGCAGUGCAAAAGACCUGAGGUUACUGUUUUCUGGAAUGUGAUGCCAGAUAAUUGGGUAGAUAAGCAGCAACAUUUUGUAGGGACCUGUUACCUGCAUCUUCAGGGAAGAAGAAGUGGUCACCUGUCUUAAAGAUGGAAGUACCAGGCCCCUCCAAAAGAUUGGUACUUAUCCACCAACUACACAGUGUCAUUGUAAUCUUAAUUCUUUUGUUACAGUUUAUUUUUCAUUAAGGGAGGCCCUAAUUUUGAUGAUUAAUGUGAAAAUUCCUUAACAAAAAUUGGUAUUCCACUUGUUAAACUGCCAAAGGAAGUGUCUGGUUUAGGUCCCCAACUUGACUGAAAGCAUUUUUUAAUUUCAUUCAGCCCCUGCAAUUUUCAUUUGAUACUGCAGAACAUCAGUAGUUGAAAGGAUGUUGCAAAAUGAUGCAAGAAAACUCUCCUGGUUCAGAUUAACCAUUCAUUUUAUUUGAUGGUCCACGCAUGUUAAACCAUAUCAUGUAUGUCCUUUGUGACUGAAGGACUCGGACUCUGCUAUAAACAAUUUUCUUAAAGAUAACACAACACCUUCAGUAGGUGCUGUGUUCAGUGCUAUAGAGACAUUCUCUUUAUUUUAGUAAUUCCUUAUUCAGAUUCCAGAGCUACGUGCAACCUUCAUUAAUAUUUUUUUAGCGCACUGACUAAAUGUGCCUAUCUGUAAGACGACAGAAUGCAGACUGUAAAACAUGAUGUAUGAUAGUAAUUGCAUUCAGGUAGCAAUUUUAUUCACUCUCUUUUGGGUGGGGGGACGUCUCGUUGGUUUAAACCAAAUGUUGUCUGUGUUCUUUAUUUCACAUAUCACAUAUUCUUGCUGCAUGACAUAAUCUUAGAUUAAUUAUUUUCAGGUAAGGCACAAGCAUCAAACAAAAUACAAGUAUCCCCUGACUUAAGUGAAUUCUGCUUUAAUUCAGUUUUGUAUGAAUUUAUUUUAAUUUGCUUUUUUUUUUUUUAAUGAAGAUGAUAAAAAUGAUUAAAUUAUUUUUAAGAAUGCAGUCUCCUGGAUGGUACAGCUAAGCUUGCCACCUGCUUGUGCUGGUUCCUUGCUUGGGUUAGUCUCUAACCUUGAAGGUGGAGGUGAUGUGUUCCUCUGAAACAUUGGCCUAUUGCGGGAUGGACGUUGUCUAGGCCGUUUUUGUAUUUACAGUUAUUUCUCACAAUAAAAUAUUGGCAUGUCUCCAGAUUAUGUAGUAAUACAAACCAGAGAAAUGUUCUCUUCACAUUCACCACAGCGAGAACCUUAAAUCCAACAGUGAAAUUAUUUGUUAACUGCUAAAAAAUGGUAUUAAAUUAAUUAAAUUACUUAUAUCUCAUUAAUGAUUAAAGGCAAAACACUAGGAGCCAGAAUAUCAAGCAAAAUACCUUGGGUGAGCAAUUUGCUAAUUUUUAUUAACAAAAGGACAGUUGAUACAUCUACAUAUAAAUAAUAGAAAAUUCUUGUCAAGCCAGGGGAAACUCAACAUGCCAUUCCUCAGAAUAUGGAGAAGAAACAUGAUAGGAUUUACAAAUAAAAGGAAAAUGGAAUAGGAGAUCGAAGGAUUAGAAUGGCGAAGAAAUGGAAGAAUGGGGUUGAGGGUAAUGUUGUAACAUGAAGGAGAGAGAAGUAAGAAGUGGGAAAGAGAUAACAAAGAAAAUGAGUUAGGAUGCAAGAAAGCAACGAGGGAUGAAAGAGGAGGGGAUGAAGAUAAGUUAUAAGGAAACAGGAAAAAAUAAGUUAUUUUCCCUGUCUUUGAUGGGCCAUGCACUAGCAGUAUUAAGAUAGGAAUGAAAUUGGAAUUUCCUAGAAUUUGUGCCGGAUUGGAAGGGAAUAACAGGAAUUUUGAGUUACAUGACUGCUCUUGGGAAUGCAGCUAUCACAUAAGUCAUGAGAUACCUCUGUUGUAGUGUAUCAUAGGUUUUUAAACUACUUUAUUUUGUGAUACAGAAAUAAUGUUGGAGAUGUGCUGACAGACAUGUUAUCUUUUGAUAUGGGAGAGGUUAGUAGUCUAGUAUGAUGUGGCAUCACAUGUUGUGCUCUGUUAGGUUAUGACUCUCUCUUAUAGCCUUGUAGGUAGAUACCAAUGCUCUGGAGGAACAUAAUGCCUCCAUCUUCAGGGAUGAAGAAUGUUGGUAGUUAUCUGCCAGAUUACACCAUGGUGUCACAACCUAAUUGUCACCUCCAGGAAAAUAUCAAACUUUACAUAUGGUGCGAUUGUUUGUUUUCAUACCAAACUGAAUUAACACAUCAGUGCAAAAUAUUUUAAUUGUGUGCAGACAGAAGAACAUAUUGUGAUUUUAAUGCUGUAAAUAACAGACGUUUAUUAUUAAUACAGACAUGUGUUAAUGACUGCUAUUAGUUUUCAUUGGUCUUUAUCAGUAUAGUUGAGGUCCAUGUAGUUGAAGUUAUGGAAAGUAAAAAUAAUAUUGGACUUCAAUGGUCAGUUAUCUGUGAUGUAGACUAUAUGGGUUGGUUUUACCACUUCAUGUGGAAACAAUUCUGAAACAAAUGUACAGUAGUAAUAUAUCGUAUAGUAUUUAUUGCAACUGUUGUUUCAAGUGUCAGAGACUCCCUCUCUUUCACCAGUUGCCUUUUGCUUUCAGUUCAUACUUUUGUAAUUGGAUCAUUCAGCAUGGCAUGAAUAUUUCUUCAUUGUUUUAUAUUUUGAAGCAAAGCUUCUGUAGCUAGAAAGUGUUGAGUGAUUCAGAGAAAGAUUGUUGUUGUCAUUUGGUUUAUGACAACAUUCGGCAUGGCAGGUGGUUAACACGUUUCAGAAGAACCUGCUGUGUCUGUCUUUGGGAUGAAGAUGGAGACAGAAUGUUCUUCUGAAAAGCUGGUAUGCAGUUUCAUAACCCAGAACAACGCAGUCCUAAUAUUUGCCAAUGUGAAAGCCUGAAAUCUCACGUUGGUCUGAGUAACUGAAUGUACACAGAUGUAAUUUCCUAAAAUUUGAGAAAUACCAAAAAUGGGGAGGGGGUUAGCUUUGUGCUAUAUAACAAGCAAUGACCAAGCAUGCAUGUGCUUGCCUACAGCCACUAACUGAAAGAUUAUUUGGCCGUUGGCCUAUAGUAAUGCAUAAACGCAUUACUUGUAACAUCUCAAACAAAGCCAUCUUCACCAUGCUCUCUGUUAGGCGCUCAUGUGCAAGAUCAGCAGCCGGUGCAUCCUGUGGCUUUUAUGGCAAACUGCCAGCAGGCUCAUUUAUCUGUGCCCCACUACAUAACUUAUAUUCAUGCAGUGUGUUCAUGAUCAGAAAUUAACUGCUUAGAGAGAUAUUUAUGAUUUUGAAUAAUGGUUGUAGCGUAUAUACUUCAGUGAGUAUAGUUUUGAUGUCAGAUUUAUUUUAAAGCUGACUUGUAUAAUGCAACAUAUCAUCUGUAAGAAGCUAAUUUUGCAUACAGCCUCAGCCCUGUGGAUACGUGUACAGAACAGGGGAAGAAAGCAUAGCCCCCCUCAUUGCAGAUGCUGACAAGUUGCUCUGUAACAGAAGUCUCAGUCUCCCUUUCAUUCCUAGUUGGACGAACCUGAUCUUGUAGUCAAGCGUGUACCACUUAUGUUUCAUAUUUAUAGGAUUCCAAGUUCAGAUCUCAGCUUUGAGACCACCUAUCCUGAUGUUUUUGGUGGUGUUCCUGACCUUCUAGCCAAAAGACUCAAAUUAGGCCACAACCACUUCCUUCUGCAUUCUGUGCAAUUCAUUGUUCAGUAGUGGUCCUGUCAUUUGAUGCUUUAUAGGUAUGAGCUACUCGCAGCAUCAUUAAAUAAAACAUAAAUAAGAAGACCCUACUUGGAUGCAGUGAGUAAAAGAAACAUAAUUUGUGUCCCUCGGUUGUAUAUUUGUAUUGUAUUUAUUUAUUUCAUUCUUUUCUCCUACUUUCUUUCCCUGCUUCCUUGGUGAGUUGGAGCAUUCCUCUAUAUAUGCGCACUAGCUUCUUCAUUGGAGAGAUCAGUAAAAGCGAAGACAAAACGAUUGUAAAGCAAGUACAAGUACUUAUUGAACAGAGUGAUCCAGUUGAGUGGUGCUUGCUAAUUAUUUUUAUCAUGAUGUUCAUCAUGUAGCAUUCAUAAUGUUGAGCCACAUGUUGGCCUGUUCCAAGCUCUUUGCAGUAGUCUGUUCAAAAUUAUUCCUCAGUUCUUUGAUCCAUGUGGUUUAUAAUGUUUCAGAAGUGUCAACAUGUUGAAUUCGGUUGGUGUUAUAUUUUUAAAGUUGGCACAGUAUGGGUUCUGUUUUUAAUUCUGUUAAGGUCUUAAUUUCGUUUGUGGUCUAUCCAAGCACAGUUCACCAUUUAUUUUACAAAUUUAAUCUCAGCAGCUGUAAUCCUGGACAUGACUUUUGCUUGCUGAUUAUCCCAAAUUGCAUGAUGUACAUACUUAUGUACAUACAUAAGUAUAUACACAAACAUGCAUGUUGUUCCUUGCUCAUUUCCAUCCAGUUGCUAGUUCUGUCAUGUAAUGUCUCUGAUUAGUUCCCAUAAAAUUUUAUUAUUUAUGUUCUCCGAUACUGACAUGCCAUUUUGUAGUUAAAGUGCAUAAAAUGUAACGCAGAACAUCCAGCGUUUGCUCCCAGAGGAUAUGUGAGAGAUGUGACUGAAUACUGGGUCACUGUGGUUCCUAAAAUAUUGCAUCAGUAUUAACACACAGUUCUAAGGACAGAAUUCUUGCAUCCACAUGUGGAAAGUGUAUGUUCUUCCUCCAAAAUUUAUUUAAUCCUUACCAGUAUAGGUGAUGCUAGAUAUUCUCAGUGGUUGUUAUAAUAUUACUAAAUAACAUCAUAUAUUUCACAUGUAAAUGAACUGCUGAAGUAACUGGCCACAGGCAUCUGUUAAAGAGAGGCUGUAAGUCCUAUCUUUGUGACACUGAGUUUAGAAGAUCUAGGUGCCUUUUUAAGCAACCGUAAAUUCUACAGGUAUGAAAUUUGGCAGACGUGUAGUUGAGGAUUCUCUGUAUCUGCUGAACUUCUUCUGCAAUGAUUUACUUUAAGUAUAUUUUUUGUCCCCCCCCCCAAGACCAUAUAUUCAAGAAAUGGUGUUUUAGGAGAGAAAAAAGGUUAGAAUGUUUAUUGCAAGCAAAUCACUGUAAAUAAGAGCUAACAGAUACAGGGUUACUUAGAAAAUGCAUCUGGAUUUGACAAAAUUAACUUUGCAGUUGAGUGCCCACAUCAUAUAUGGAGCUCAAGAUGAAGCCAGUGCCAAGGACUAUCCACAUCAUAUUUGUAUUUUAAGUAGGCUUUAAAUAGGAUGUAUUUCUUGUAGAUUAUGUUGAUUGUACUGUUGCCAGUACCAUGUAUGAUCAAAUCAAAAGAUGAGGGAACCAUCAUGGCUGACUAAACAUUAUAAGGCUAAUGCUUAUUUUCAAUUGUGAUAGUUUUCAUCAAAAGGGCAAAAAAUAUAUGCCUUGAGCUGAGAAGUUUGUUUUAUACAAGUCAUAUGUAAUCCUUUCACUUGAUUAUGUUUACUGAUCAUGACUCAGUGUAUUAUUGUUAUUAUGUUUGUAAAGAUUUAUUUGCAGUUGUUGAUACAAAAAUCAAUAAAAGAUUAAACAUCUGUAAUGUGUAACGUGUUGAGGCAUUUGUUAUAUAAUGAUACAAUGGAAUUGUAAAUGUAAUAGAAUGUGGAGAUGAUUGAUUCAUUUACUUGUUUGUAUUUAUGUAAAUAUACAUGAACAUAUGAAAAAUAAUAUAGCUAUAUAUUGUAUUUCUGCUUGAGCAUGAAAAUAUGAGGAUAUGUAAAACUCAUGGAAUAAAAUGUCUGAGGCAGAAUGUAA